UCUCUGAUCUGUCUUGUUCUGCAGGUCUGGUUCUGGCUCAGGAUCAGAACUAUGAGGAUUAUUCAGAGAUCUUUGGUAACGGCAACAGUUAUGAUCCGUUCUACUAUCCAGCUGUUUCUCAGCAGGUUUUACAAGCUCAGACCUCAGAACCAGGACAGUCCGCAGUGGAUUUCCAGACGGAGCCGACCGAACCUGGACCGCUGG
Long non-coding RNA from Sinocyclocheilus anshuiensis, 204 nucleotides. RefSeq lists it as uncharacterized. NCBI's taxonomy places the organism in Eukaryota, Metazoa, Chordata, Actinopteri, Cypriniformes, Cyprinidae. The record is from RefSeq and is a predicted model, not a curated record. The transcript is spliced from 4 exons.